UACGUAGGGGGCAAGCGUUGUCCGGAAUCAUUGGGCGUAAAGCGCGUGUAGGCGGCCCGGUAAGUCCGCUGUGAAAGUCCAGGGCUCAACCCUGGAAUGCCGGUGGAUACUGUCGGGCUCGAGUCCGGAAGAGGAGAAUGGAAUUCCCGGUGUAGCGGUGAAAUGCGCAGAUAUCGGGAAGAACACCCGUGGCGAAGGCGGUUCUCUGGGACGGUACUGACGCUGAGACGCGAAAGCGUGGGGAGCGAACAGG
RNAcentral lists this ribosomal RNA (253 nucleotides) under uncultured bacterium. RNAcentral describes it as "partial 16S ribosomal RNA". It matches the Rfam family "Bacterial small subunit ribosomal RNA", at positions 524 to 776 of the family's 1533-position model. The record is from RNAcentral.